GCUGGCAGCGCUGCUGGGGUUGUGUUGCGGUCCUGAGUCAGCUUAUCUUCCCCUGGAUCCCUCUUCCUAUUCUCACCCUGGCUCCCGAGUCCUCAGUGCUGAUAGGGUGGAGCAGAUGACCAAGACCUACAAUGACAUUGAGGUUGUCACACAUCUACUGGCUGAGCGGGACCGGGACUUGGAGCUGGCCGCUCGG
Long non-coding RNA from Coregonus clupeaformis (lake whitefish), 196 nucleotides. RefSeq lists it as uncharacterized. The transcript is spliced from 4 exons. Lineage: Eukaryota; Metazoa; Chordata; Actinopteri; Salmoniformes; Salmonidae. The record is from RefSeq and is a predicted model, not a curated record.